This is a non-coding RNA of Camelina sativa (false flax), 427 nucleotides long. Lineage: Eukaryota; Viridiplantae; Streptophyta; Magnoliopsida; Brassicales; Brassicaceae. The record is from RefSeq and is a predicted model, not a curated record.
UCUACUUGUUGAUUUUAAUAUUUUCAUUAGCAUGUUCUUAUUAUAUCUGGACUCUUGAGGUUAUUAUAUAAUCGCCUAUGUAACACAUAUUGAAAUCCCCAUUGCUCAUGAGCUUUCGUUCUGUGUACUAUCAUAUAUGUUGGAUGAGUUUUCUGUUCUGAUUCCCGUGCACUUUUUAUUACUUAAAGGGACACAAGAGCUGGUCGAAAGAAAGGUAUGAUGAUGAAACAAGAGCAGAGGUUGUGAGAGCAUAACUGGUCGAGCUCAUUGAGAGAUACACAGCCUGGGAAUCUGUUAGUGUAAGAUGUAGUAACUAACUUGGCUAAGGCAUUUGAAGACAACAAGAAGAGUCUCUAGGUUCGUGUUUUUGUUUAUUGUGGCAUGUUAAGACUUAUUUUGAGACUUGUAAUGUAUGUAGUCUAUUGUA